GGGUGCGUAGCUCAGACGGUAGAGCGCUCGCUUAGCAUGCGAGUGGUAAGGGAAUUGAUACCCCGCGCCUCCA
Molecule: non-coding RNA, 73 nt
Organism: Trichonephila clavipes
Lineage: Eukaryota; Metazoa; Arthropoda; Arachnida; Araneae; Nephilidae
Source: the annotation of a GenBank genome assembly